This 497-nucleotide ribosomal RNA is filed under the name uncultured bacterium. RNAcentral's name for it is "partial 16S ribosomal RNA". It matches the Rfam family "Bacterial small subunit ribosomal RNA", at positions 28 to 507 of the family's 1533-position model. The record is from RNAcentral.
GAUGAACGCUGGCGGCGUGCCUAAUACAUGCAAGUCGAGCGAACAGAUGAGGAGCUUGCUCCUCUGACGUUAGCGGCGGACGGGUGAGUAACACGUGGAUAACCUACCUAUAAGACUGGGAUAACUUCGGGAAACCGGAGCUAAUACCGGAUAAUAUAUUGAACCGCAUGGUUCAAUAGUGAAAGACGGUUUUGCUGUCACUUAUAGAUGGAUCCGCGCCGCAUUAGCUAGUUGGUAAGGUAACGGCUUACCAAGGCAACGAUGCGUAGCCGACCUGAGAGGGUGAUCGGCCACACUGGAACUGAGACACGGUCCAGACUCCUAAGGGAGGCCGCAGUAGGGAAUCUUCCGCAAUGGGCGAAAGCCUGACGGAGCAACGCCGCGUGAGUGAUGAAGGUCUUCGGAUCGUAAAACUCUGUUAUUAGGGAAGAACAAAUGUGUAAGUAACUAUGCACGUCUUGACGGUACCUAAUCAGAAAGCCACGGCUAACUACGUG